This 612-nucleotide ribosomal RNA is filed under the name uncultured bacterium. Its description in RNAcentral is "bacterial SSU rRNA". It matches the Rfam family "Bacterial small subunit ribosomal RNA", at positions 28 to 675 of the family's 1533-position model. The record is from RNAcentral.
AACCGGCAUGGCGGCGUGCCUACACAUGCAGUCGAACGAGAAAGGGGAGCAAUCCCUGAGUAAAGUGGCGCACGGGUGAGUAACACGUGACUAACCUACCCUUGAGUGGGGGAUAACUGAGGGAAACCUUAGCUAAUACCGCAUAAUACCUACGGGUCAAAGGAGCAAUUCGCUCGAGGAGGGGGUCGCGGCCGAUUAGUUAGUUGGCGGGGUAAUGGCCCACCAAGACGAUGAUCGGUAUCCGGCCUGAGAGGGCGCACGGACACACUGGAACUGAAACACGGUCCAGACUCCUACGGGAGGCAGCAGUGGGGGAUUUUGCGCAAUGGGGGAAACCCUGACGCAGCAACGCCGCGUGGAGGAUGAAGUACUUCGGUACGUAAACUCCUUUCGAUCGGGACGAUAAUGACGGUACCGGAAGAAGAAGCCCCGGCUAACUUCGUGCCAGCAGCCGCGGUAAUACGAGGGGGGCGAGCGUUGUUCGGAAUUAUUGGGCGUAAAGGGUGCGUAGGCGGUUUGGUAAGUCUUGUGUGAAAUCUAUGGGCUCAACUCAUAGACUGCACGAGAAACUGCCGGGCUUGAGUAUGGGAGAGGUGAGUGGAAUUCCUGGUG